AGUGAACGCUGGCGGUAGGCCUAACACAUGCAAGUCGAACGGCAGCACAGGAGAGCUUGCUCUCUGGGUGGCGAGUGGCGGACGGGUGAGGGAUACAUCGGAAUCUACUCUGUCGUGGGGGAUAACGUAGGGAAACUUACGCUAAUACCGCAUACGACCUACGGGUGAAAGCAGGGGACCUUCGGGCCUUGCGCGAUUGAAUGAGCCGAUGUCGGAUUAGCUAGUUGGCGGGGUAAAGGCCCACCAAGGCGACGAUCCGUAGCUGGUCUGAGGGGAUGAUCAGCCACACUGGAACUGAGACACGGUCCAGACUCCUACGGGAGGCAGCAGUGGGGAAUAUUGGACAAUGGGCGCAAGCCUGAUCCAGCCAUACCGCGUGGGUGAAGAAGGCCUUCGGGUUGUAAAGCCCUUUUGUUGGGAAAGAAAUCCAGCUGGCUAAUACCCGGUUGGGAUGACGGUACCCAAAGAAUAAGCACCGGCUAACUUCGUGCCAGCCGCCGCUGUAA
RNAcentral lists this ribosomal RNA (506 nucleotides) under uncultured bacterium. Its description in RNAcentral is "partial 16S ribosomal RNA". It matches the Rfam family "Bacterial small subunit ribosomal RNA", at positions 29 to 523 of the family's 1533-position model. The record is from RNAcentral.